UACGGAGGGUGCAAGCGUUAAUCGGAAUUACUGGGCGUAAAGCGUGCGUAGGCGGUUCGUUAAGUCUGUUGUGAAAGCCCCGGGCUCAACCUGGGAAUGGCAAUGGAUACUGGCGAGCUAGAGUGUGUCAGAGGAUGGUGGAAUUCCCGGUGUAGCGGUGAAAUGCGUAGAGAUCGGAGGAACAUCAGUGGCGAAGGCGGCCAUCUGGACAACACGUGACGCUGAGCACGAAGCGUGGAGCAACAGG
Molecule: ribosomal RNA, 247 nt
Filed under: uncultured bacterium
Lineage: Bacteria
Description: partial 16S ribosomal RNA
Rfam family: Bacterial small subunit ribosomal RNA
Source: RNAcentral